UGUUAGGUUUUCGAGCUGCUCUGCGCAAGCUUGAGGAAGGAUGUUGCAUUGAGGAUGCAGAAGCUGUUUGUGAGCCUGAAGUUCUUAACCACAUAUUUAAGUGGAAGAUUGUUGAUAGGCUUCAUUGGUACAUAGAGAAAGGCAAUACAGAUUGAAAGAUUUUAGAAUAAAAAAUAGAAGCCAUGUUAGAUAUUCUCUUCGAAUUGUGCUCAGGGCAGCAAGUUAAUUGGGAGAAGUAAGCAUUAUAUGGAGGCAAUAUUGAUGAGGCUACAUUGAUCUCUACUUCUUCAAGGCUGAAUUGGGAGGCUGGCCUGACUUAAUUGAGAAUUGACUAUCAGGAAGGGACUAUAUUUUCACUAUAUUUUCAACUAAUUAAUCUCCAGACGGCUAAAACUGAAGGUGGCUCGACUAACAACGCUUCAGCUCGAGCCUUGAGACUCACGCUGGCAUACGACUCACACAGGAAUGGCUCGUUGCGCGUGGCUCACGUAUGGCUUACACGAAACGGCUCGGAUCCACAGAGAUGACUCACGAGGCUCGGUGAAGGAAUACGACUCGAACUAACACGACUUGGACAUGUGGCUCGCAAAAAGAAAACUUUCACAGCUUGCAUCCUUCACUGUCAAGCACGAUGAUGUCCGGCGGUGCUGUGCGAGUGGAGGCAACGACGGAUGAUGGUUUCGACGGAAGAGAGGGUUCUGACCGAUGAUGUGUAGGAGGAACGUACAGAGGAAGACAGGGGUCGUUCGACGGUUCGAUGCAACACGCGUCGACACGGCUGGAGAGAAAUGAACGGUUGUGCUUCGUGACCGUGACGCUUCGACUAUGCGACUUUGACAGGGACUCUCUCACCGGAGUGCUGCAUUCGAUGAUGGCUGGAGGAGC
Cucumis sativus (cucumber) is the source of this 885-nucleotide long non-coding RNA. RefSeq lists it as uncharacterized. The record is from RefSeq and is a predicted model, not a curated record. The transcript is spliced from 5 exons. Lineage: Eukaryota; Viridiplantae; Streptophyta; Magnoliopsida; Cucurbitales; Cucurbitaceae.